GCACGCGCACGCGCACGCCAGGGUUCAUAAGCAGCAAACAGCCAAAAAAUAAUCCUUUCGAUCAGCGAGCAACGCACUGAGCUCCACGGAGAAAGGGAAAAACUCAUUGGAAGAGGAGACCAAAGAGACUACCGAUUAAGAACCUGAACAAAGGGCUAAAGGAAAAAACUCUUCGGAGGAGGAGACUAAAGAGACUACAGGUUUUUCAGCUUGAUUGUUUCGCUCAUUAAACACCUGAAGAGUGGAAUCCCAGUCUGGUCAAGUCCUAAAGUGUGGAAACCCAUGACGUUAAAAUACACUU
Molecule: long non-coding RNA, 301 nt
Organism: Syngnathus typhle (broad-nosed pipefish)
Lineage: Eukaryota; Metazoa; Chordata; Actinopteri; Syngnathiformes; Syngnathidae
Exons: 3
Source: RefSeq, a predicted model, not a curated record